CGCACCUUGCGCCUUUUGGUAUUCCGAAAGGCAUGCCUGUUUGAGUGUCAUGAAAUCUCAACCCCAUCUCGUUUUCACGAACCUGAUGUGGGCUUGGACAUGGGCGUCUGCCGGUCACACGGCUCGCCUCAAAAGACUUAGUGGGAUCGCUCGCAUCCGUGGCAGACGUAAUAAGUUUCGUCUCGUCCCUUGCCUGUGCCAAAGCCCGCUCACAACCUGCCAUCGCGCAACCUUUUUGACUCUGACCUCAAAUCAGGUAGGACUACCCGCUGAACUUAA
Molecule: unclassified non-coding RNA, 279 nt
Filed under: Tremellales sp.
Lineage: Eukaryota; Fungi; Basidiomycota; Tremellomycetes; Tremellales
Description: partial contains 5.8S ribosomal RNA, internal transcribed spacer 2, and large subunit ribosomal RNA
Source: RNAcentral